RNAcentral lists this ribosomal RNA (700 nucleotides) under uncultured bacterium. RNAcentral describes it as "bacterial SSU rRNA". It matches the Rfam family "Bacterial small subunit ribosomal RNA", at positions 35 to 726 of the family's 1533-position model. The record is from RNAcentral.
GGGGGCAGUGCGCGUGCUUACACAUGCAGUCGAACGGAACACCCUCUGAAGGAGUUUUCGGACAACUGAGAGGACUGUUUAGUGGCGGACGGGUGAGUAACGCGUGAGUAACCUGCCUUGGAGUGGGGAAUAACACAGAGAAAUUUGUGCUAAUACCGCAUAAUGCAGCUGAGUCGCAUGGCUCUGGCUGCCAAAGAUUUAUCGCUCUGAGAUGGACUCGCGUCUGAUUAGCUAGUUGGCGGGGUAACGGCCCACCAAGGCGACGAUCAGUAGCCGGACUGAGAGGUUGGCCGGCCACAUUGGGACUGAGACACGGCCCAGACUCCUACGGGAGGCAGCAGUGGGGAAUAUUGGGCAAUGGGCGCAAGCCUGACCCAGCAACGCCGCGUGAAGGAAGAAGGCUUUCGGGUUGUAAACUUCUUUUCUCAGGGACGAAGCAAGUGACGGUACCUGAGGAAUAAGCCACGGCUAACUACGUGCCAGCAGCCGCGGUAAUACGUAGGUGGCAAGCGUUAUCCGGAUUUACUGGGUGUAAAGGGCGUGUACGCGGGAAAGCAAGUCAGAUGUGGAAACCAUGGGCUCACCCUGUGGCCUGCAUUUGAAACUGUUUUUCUUGAGUAUUGGAGAGGUACACGGAAUUUCCUAGUGUAACGGUUGAAUGCCUUAUAAAUAACGAGGCACGCUUGUGGCGAAGGCCGCC